UGCACAAGGCGGUGGAGCAUGUGGUUUAAUUCGAUGCAACGCGAAGAACCUUACCUACUCUUGACAUCCAGAGAACUUUCCAGAGAUGGAUUGGUGCCUUCGGGAACUCUGAGACAGGUGCUGCAUGGCUGUCGUCAGCUCGUGUUGUGAAAUGUUGGGUUAAGUCCCGCAACGAGCGCAACCCUUAUCCUUUGUUGCCAGCGGUUCGGCCGGGAACUCAAAGGAGACUGCCAGUGAUAAACUGGAGGAAGGUGGGGAUGACGUCAAGUCAUCAUGGCCCUUACGAGUAGGGCUACACACGUGCUACAAUGGCAUAUACAAAGAGAAGCGACCUCGCGAGAGCAAGCGGACCUCAUAAAGUAUGUCGUAGUCCGGAUUGGAGUCUGCAACUCGACUCCAUGAAGUCGGAAUCGCUAGUAAUCGUAGAUCAGAAUGCUACGGUGAAUACAGUUCCCGGGCA
Molecule: ribosomal RNA, 460 nt
Filed under: uncultured soil bacterium
Lineage: Bacteria
Description: bacterial SSU rRNA
Rfam family: Bacterial small subunit ribosomal RNA
Source: RNAcentral